RNA transcript from Mercenaria mercenaria, 3883 nucleotides. RefSeq lists it as uncharacterized. The transcript is spliced from 9 exons. The record is from RefSeq and is a predicted model, not a curated record. Lineage: Eukaryota; Metazoa; Mollusca; Bivalvia; Venerida; Veneridae.
AUAUUGAACUUAUUGAAGAUCCUUGAUUUUCACAUUUUUGAAAAUGGUGGGUUGAAAGCUUUCGUAUGUGUGCAAAUAGACUAAAAAACGGCAUUAAUGAAGAGUGUUUCUGCGCAAUGGCUGCUCACUGCCGACAGCCGGCCAAACCCAAAAUCACGAGCAGAAAGUUUACUUGGACAUCAGCCAUAGCUACAAUUAGCAUACAGUAAAACCUGCUGUCGCCUCUAUUAAGCAGCCAACCUGUCUUAAGCAGCCAGUGUCUCAUUUCCUUUCAUUCUAUAAAUGACAUGCAUGAAGCAGCCACAUGCGCUAAACAGCCACUUUUCCCCCACUCUCUUGGCUGGCUGCUUUAGACUGUUUUUUCUGUACACUUUUAAAGAUUUUAAAGAAAAUGUCAGCUGUUUUAAAAAUGUUGCUUUUUGUAAAAAUAGGGUGUUGAUGAUACCUUUUCUGUUUCUGGUAAAGGACAAUGAACGCUAGGCAAGUUUCUCAAACAUUAUCUUCUUUCCCUGACAAAAAAACAUUGAUAUGAACAAAAAAAUUCAUUACUUCAGACGUGGAUAGUUGGUUUCCUGCGAAGAAGAAUGGAUUAUGUAACACCUGCAGCCAGAGAGUUCGGAGAAAGGGAUCAGCUCAAAGAACAUUGGAGGGGUCUGAUGACAAUAUUGAUAUAGGUUAUGAAGAAGAUGGUAAAGGAAAAUCGGCAGAGGUAAAGGAGACAAAUGAUGGUGCGAAAAGUAGAAAUAUCACAAGUUAACAGUCAAUAAGGGAAUUGACUGCAGCCAGUAACUAGACAAGUCAUGAGCUUGCAAGAUAUGUCACAGAAAGGCGGGUAUAUGGAGCUGCUGCAGAUUUACCCAGUCUUGCUUAAACCAGAAGUUGUGAUCUACAACAUGGUUCUACAACUGCCAAUGAACUUCGGUAGAAGAGCUGGAGGGGAGUGGAGUGAGCAUAUUGCAGUACAGUUAAACCUGUCUAUAAAGACCACCCUUGGGAGAGCCAAAAAUGUGGUCUUUAUUGGGAGGUGGUCGUUAUUCACAGGUAAAAAUAUAUUGUAAAUGUUAAAAUGGGAAACAAAACAUUUGGUCUCUGUUCAGAGGUGGUCUUUAACACCGGUUUGACUGUAUACACAUCAGUGGGAGUGGAACAGGCAGAUUUCAAUACAUACUACAUCAGUGGGAAAAGUGCAAUGAAGUUCAGCUGUUUCCAGCUUGAAACACAUGGAAUCUUCAGAAGCACAAAAUGACAUGGUUGGCAUUCUGGAAGUUCAUGGAGUAUGCCCGUGGCCAGACAAAUCUUCAUCAUUUAGAGGGUUAAGUUACAAGACUGAUGGAAAAUGACAGUGACUGGACAGACAAUGAUGAUGGUGAAGAACUAUAGAAAACAUGGGAAAACUUUUAAUAGUGGUCAUCAACAAGCAGUCAUUGAUUCCAGUAUUCCAGCCAAUGUAUCGCUCUCAGGUUGAAGUUGCAAGGAGAGACUGAUGGAAAAUGACAGUGACUGGACAGACAAUGAUGAUGGUGAAGAACUAUAGAAAACUUGGGAAAACUUUUAAUAGUGGCCAUCAACAAGCAGUCAUUGGUCCAGUAUUCCAGCCAAUGUAUCCCUCUCGUAGGUUAACCUUAAAGCAGGACUUGCACUUUCAUGUGGGGGAAAAACAUGAAAUGGAGAUCACUUACCAGUGCACACAGUUGACUUGAGAAGAAAUUUCUUAUCAGUCAGGAAUUGACCAAAAAGGAUGUUGAUAUUGAUGCACUUCCUCGUAGCAACUUCAGACCUACAGAUAUAUAAGGCAACAAUUAUCACUAUUGACCUAAUUCAAUACGGGAAGAUGCCACAUGUCACACAAAGCUGCAUACCACAACAAAUCGCUGUAGCACAGAUUUCUAUGUCACACCUAAAAAGGAAAUUUUACCAGAGGCACAAAGGAUCACCAGGAUUGCAUGGAAUAUUCAGACACGAUAACAAUAAAAAGUCCAACACAUCUGUACCUGGAAUUAAGGCGACUGUAGAGAAAUUGUGUUCUUGGCUUGAAAAGAUCCUAAAGUGAUUUUGGUAGCCCGUUAUGGAAGACAGUUUGAUUUUCCAGCUCUUGUCUCAGCUCUACUGUACACAAAAAUAACUAGGACAUUAUUCAGCUGAGUUUCUUCUAAAAAGUAUUCUUUUACCAGUGUUCAAGAAACUGUACCCUACUACUUGGUAUCUGGUACAAUGCCUAUAACUGACAGACAGACAAAUUUACUAUGAAAAACUGGGAAGGCCUGCCAAGGGUUUUCAUAUGUUAAAGAAAAAUUUCAAGCAGUGACAUAUACUCAUGAUAAAUUUGGUACAAUAAUGUUCAUUAUUUUAAGUAGAAAAUGACAAUUGUAAUUGGAAAUUCGAAUUGUGUUAUUUUACUCUAUAUUUAAGAAAAUUAAUAUAUUCAAACUUGUAAAAUUUUUUGCAUUUGUUAAAAUGUUUAUUAUUUAGCCAUUUCCUUGAUUAAAAAUACACAACAAACUUCUAGCUUAAGACUUUCCAAGGUUGACAAGUUAUUACUUUCUUUGAUUUUGCUUAAGUUUGUUAAUUAUUGUUAAAUACUUUUGUUCAAAAAUUAAUACUGUAUAAAAACCUUUAAUUAAUAUCAUUGAGCAACAGAUGUUAUCUUUUAACAAUUAGUAAAGUAAGGAGAAGACAACCUUAAAAUGUUUAAAUUAAACUUAUAAGUAAAGUAUAUAAACCCCAAACUUUUAAGGAGCUAAAAGACAAAAUUUCAUUUCAACUCUUGUAAAAAAUUAACUUUGUGAUAUUUUUCUCAGUGAUAACUAGACAUUUAAUUUUAUCUGUAUAGAUUUUUGUACAGUUAAUCCAGGUGUAUACAAGACAAUAUUUAUAAAGAAUUUUAUGCCCCCUGGCAUCUACUGAUGCGGGAGGCAUAUAGUGAUUGUCCUGUCUGUUCGUCCGUCCGUACGAGGUUAACCUAAUGGGACCGUUUUGUCUAGCAUCAGUAUCACUAACUAGAAUGACUUGAUACUAAUGCAGAUGUAACCUGUGACCAUUCCUCAUCUUCAGACAUAUCACCUGACCUCAGUUUGACUUUGCUUUGUAUUGACAAGGAUGCCAACGGGGGCAUCAAGCGUUUAUUGAAUGCAGCUCCUUGUUUUUUUAUGUUUUAAGCUACCUGAUUAUUUAUAUUAGAGAAAACUGUUAAAUUUCAAUUACUUUAUAAGUGUACAUGUAAAUCCUAUUUCACUAUACUUACAUAUUAUUGAAAGCUAAGGGACUCCAUUGGAAAUAAGUGAAAUUGUUACUUUCACGGUUUAUCCCAGGCAGAAAGAUCAUCAUUUUUUCCUGAUGUUUAUGUAUUAGCUUGAUUAAACUUGUAAAGUACAAACAUAUAAAGGGCUUACUGCAUAUUUAUUAAUUCUGAUAUUUUUGAUUUCUGUACCACUUUGUAUUUCUGUUAUAAUUGGACCUUAUGCCUUAAUAAAACUGAAUUGAAUUGAACUAAUUGGAUUUUAAACUGAAACUGAACUGAACUGAACAGAAUUUGGAACAGAAACUGAACUGAGUUAAACUGAACUGAACUGAACUGAAUUUGAAACAAAAACUGAACUGAAUUUUAAACUGAAACUGAGCUGAACUGAAUAUAGCUGGGUAAAAAACUACAGUACAGCUUGCAUUAAGAGUCACCACCAAAGGGAAGGAAAAAACAUGGUCUGUUUAUGCAACAUAGUUUGUUCUUUGAUAACAUAAAAAAAGGAACCGAAAAAGUUGUCUCAUAAUGCAAGUAGUCUCUAAAUCAAAUGUACUUGAUGAAACUUAUUAUGUUUUCAUGCUGCAAAUUUUGUAAUGUAGUUUUGUUGUGUCUAUGAAGAUUUCUCUAAAUAAACUUUAAACAUUA